Mus musculus (house mouse) is the source of this 1203-nucleotide long non-coding RNA. RefSeq annotates it as predicted gene, 52333. NCBI's taxonomy places the organism in Eukaryota, Metazoa, Chordata, Mammalia, Rodentia, Muridae. The transcript is spliced from 2 exons. The record is from RefSeq and is a predicted model, not a curated record.
AACUUGCCCCUGGAUUGGAGGGGUCCAGGGUGACGUCGUUGGCAAGGGGCUCUCAUCAUAGACUGAUCAUUCUCAACUUUCUCCGUUCCAGCAUUUUUGCAGUGUGGGGAAUGUGCUGGUGUAAUCUUACAAAGAGAGAGACACAAAACCAAGAACAUGCAAAGCACUUCCCCAAACCAAGCCGAUCUAGAGCAAGCACCACAAUUUUUCUCAAUGCUGAUGUUUCUGAAUCUUCAGAAGUGUCCUACUUCUCCGUGCUGCAAGUCUGAGGGCUGCCUCCUUGGUAAACACCACAAUCCAUCCCUUUCAUCGAUUUCUGCUCCCUUCUGAGCUUGGCAGUAAGCUGGAGGUAAGCACAGCUGCAGGGCUGCCGUGUCCGCUUCCAGAUGCUGUGGCCCCGCACAGCUGCUCUUUCAUCCUGGGACUUCCAGCUGAACCAGGAGAUUUUACAGAUUGUCUCUAAGGAUGCCUUCAGGAGAAUAUUUCUGAAGUGAUGGAUACACUCUGCUUUGGUACAAUCCAGUGUGGCAUCUGCUGGCAGCACGUGGUGGCUGAGCAAGGGGAUGGCAGCUGCUCUGACUGGGGAAGUGAGGUCUUUGUUUGUUUCUUUGUUUGUUUUUUAAAAGAUUAUUUAUUUUAAAUAUGUGAGUACAAUGUCGCUGUCUUCAGACACACCAGAAGAGAACAUCUGAUCCCAUUACAGAUGGUUGUGAGGCACCAUGUGGUUGCUGGGAAUUGAACUCAGGACCUCUGGAAGAAUGGUCAGUGCUCUUAACUACUGAACCAUCUCUCUAGGCCCAGAAGUGAGUUUUAAAUGCCAAGAAAUCUAAACUUAGCCAUGUGACUAACAAGACCUCAUUGAGUGACGCAGCUCCCUAGUAAAUGUGCAGUUAAAUGUGACAGGACGAAAGAUUUGCAAAUAACAGUGCAGUGAGUUAUUUCUCAGUUUUCACAUAUUUGACAGCCAUCUUUUGUCUCCUUAUUGGCUAACACAAUGUAACAGAGCCACCAAUCACUGGCUCUGUAAUCCCACGGCUGGAAGACUUGCUUGUUGAAAUAGUCUUGCCACCACGCUACAGCAUGGUGACUUGUCAAUGCAUGUCUUAGAAAAACCAACUGUCUGAGGCAGAAGAAUUGGAUGCAAUUUCUGACUCAAUUAUUUUUUCAAAUGAUCUGGGACAAUUAAAUCCUCUUUGAAUUUUA